This 67-nucleotide transfer RNA is filed under the name Varanus rudicollis (roughneck monitor). RNAcentral describes it as "tRNA-Trp". Lineage: Eukaryota; Metazoa; Chordata; Lepidosauria; Squamata; Varanidae. The record is from RNAcentral.
AGAAAUUUAGGUUAAUUAAACCAAGAGCCUUCAAAGCUUUAAAAAAGGACACAUUCCUUAAUUUCUG